AUUAGGAAUCUUGCACAAUGGGGGAAACCCUGAUGCAGCGACGCCGCGUGAGGGAGGAAGUCCUUCGGGAUGUAAACCUCUUUUAUCGGGGAAGAAAAAAAUGACGGUACCCGAUGAAUAAGCUCCGGCUAACUACGUGCCAGCAGCCGCGGUAAUACGUAGGGAGCGAGCGUUGUCCGAAGUUACUGGGCGUAAAGCGCGCGUAGGCGGGCCAUUAAGUGAGAGGUGAAAUUCCAGGGCUCAACCCCGGAACUGCCUCUCAUACUGUUGGUCUUGAGUGAGGUAGAGAGAAGUGGAAUGGCUGGUGUAGCGGUGAAAUGCGUAGAUAUCAGUCGGAACACCGGUGGCGAAGGCGGCUUCUUGGGCCUUUACUGACGCUGAUGCGCGAAAGCCAGGGGAGCGAACG
This 406-nucleotide ribosomal RNA is filed under the name uncultured Chthonomonadales bacterium. RNAcentral's name for it is "bacterial SSU rRNA". It matches the Rfam family "Bacterial small subunit ribosomal RNA", at positions 354 to 774 of the family's 1533-position model. Lineage: Bacteria; Bacillati; Armatimonadota; Chthonomonadia; Chthonomonadales. The record is from RNAcentral.